RNAcentral lists this long non-coding RNA (250 nucleotides) under Elaeis guineensis (African oil palm). Its description in RNAcentral is "long non-coding RNA (EGUI_LNC044809)". The record is from RNAcentral. Lineage: Eukaryota; Viridiplantae; Streptophyta; Magnoliopsida; Arecales; Arecaceae.
GCCCCUCAUCCUGUCCAUCCUCUUAGGGACCUUUAGAGCCCUCCUUCGAAACUACCCAAAAUGUCGUCCGGCUCUUCUGCUCCUUGCAGUUCCAGAAGUUCUUCCGCCUCAAACCCCCAGGUCCCUUGCUCUGUAGACGAACCUGCGUCUGGGGCUGGGCUCCGCCCGGUUUUUGCACCGGGCGCCAUUCCAUGUUCCCUGACUCCGGAGGAACUCCUUCUGAUAAGGGUUCAGUAUGGAGUUCCUCCGG